GGUGUAGGCGGCUCGGUAAGUGUCGUGUGAAAGCCCCCGGCUCAACCGGGGAACUGCAUGGCAAACUGCCUGGCUUGAGGUUGGUAGAGGUGCCUGGAACUCUAGGUGGAGCGGUGAAAUGCGUAGAUAUCUAGAGGAACGCCAGAGGCGAAAGCGGGGCACUGGGCCAAUUCUGACGCUGAGACCCGAAAGCGUGGGGAGCAAACAGGAUUAGAUACCCUGGUAGUCC
This 229-nucleotide ribosomal RNA is filed under the name uncultured bacterium. Its description in RNAcentral is "partial 16S ribosomal RNA". It matches the Rfam family "Bacterial small subunit ribosomal RNA", at positions 568 to 796 of the family's 1533-position model. The record is from RNAcentral.